Austrofundulus limnaeus is the source of this 765-nucleotide long non-coding RNA. RefSeq lists it as uncharacterized. The record is from RefSeq and is a predicted model, not a curated record. NCBI's taxonomy places the organism in Eukaryota, Metazoa, Chordata, Actinopteri, Cyprinodontiformes, Rivulidae. The transcript has 2 exons.
AUGUCAUUAGCACCUCUAGUAAUAUAUUUACUGAGAAAAAAUGUUGACGUGUUCAAUACUUAUUUUACCCGCAGUAUUAAAUGUUGAAAUAUCACAAUUAUUUCAGAACGAGAUUUGUGCUGAAAAACAGAUGAAAUAAAAAGAUUUGUACCAUCAUGACGGAUAAAAGAUAAAAAAUGAAGGAGAUUUUGCUUUGAAUAAAUCAGCUGAAAGUCCUUAUCAUCACAUCUUGUCUCCAGUCUCCUGGUUCAGGUUCUGGUUCUGCUCCGGUUCAGGUUCUGCACUUACCCUGAAGGUUUCCAAACAAAGAAACAAAUCCUUUCUGAUGACUCAGCACUGACCUUCAUCCUGUCGGAGAAGAUUCAUCCGAUCGGAUCAAAGAACCAGUUGUUUGAUCACAUGGAACACGUGAAAGUGCUGGAACGUUCCUUUAAAGCUGCUGUGGCCCUCUGAGGUCACAUGACCCUCUGAGGUCACAUGACCCUCUGAGGUCACAUGACCUGCGGGCCUCUCACCUGAGCUGUCAUUGGUCGGUGAACGUGUGACUGUCGUGUCGUUUUAUUUGUGCUUCUAUUUUGUGUAAGCUCCGCCCUCUAAGGCUAUCGAUAGCCUUAGAGGGCGGAGCUUACACUCAUAGAAGCUUGGGUUACAAUACGUAACCAUCGUUCUCUGUAAAACAGGAAGUUCGAUGUCCACGUGUUUUUUUUUACGCGGUUGUUUUUCAUCGAUGGAGAAGUUUUGUAAAUAAAUGUCUUUUUUAACCAA